UGCAGGUGAGUUAAGAAGGUGCGCUAUCUGUGACCCACAUAAGAAAAAACCCAUGUACAAUCUAUACCUUUACACCAAAAGUCAGUAAAACGGUUUGUAUGAUAAAUAAGAUGCCGUUUUUCGUGUCUACUUCUUGAUCGCAGCCUUGUAUCACCAAGAUAUGGAUAUUGACAACUUUUAGUUCAGUCCACAACAAUGUCACUGGAUUCAAACAUGGCGGACUUCAGAAAUUGUCAUUGGAUAAACGAAGAAUGGAAGGAAGCGAUUCACUGGAAUUACCUGGCUGUUGUAUUUGUUUAGUUUCAGUGAUUUUGUGAAACAUGGAAAACAAUAAACAACGGCGAUCCGACAAAAAGACCAAUGUUGGUGCACUUGGCGGAGAAAUGGAUACUGUUGGUCGAGACAGCCCAAACAAUCAGGCUCUUUUUUUGCAAAAAAUAAGGGAAAGUAAUGAAGCUGUCAACAAUGGGGACUACCACCGUGCAAUUCAGCUAUAUUCAGAAGCAAUCCAUCUCGACUCUAACAAUCACAUCCUAUACACCAAUCGGUCUGCUGCAUUUCUCAAAGUUAACCAGUAUCAACGAAGUCUUGAAGAUGCACAAAAGGCCAGAAGUCUGAACUCAAAGUGGUCUAAGGCAUACCUACGUGAAGGAGUGGCAUUGAAGUACCUGGGGCAGUAUGGGGAGGCUCUGGCAUCAUUUGCUGCAGGACUGGCACAAGAACCAAGCAAUAUUGUUCUACUUGCUGAAUUGUCACAGGCAGCAAUAACAUGUCCCCUUAAAGAUAAGCUGGCUCCCACCUUCCUGCAGCUGGAGAAGUUAAGACUCCACAGAAGUCCUUUCGUCAUCAUUUCUGUGAUCGGGCAAGAACUCUUGGCAGCCGGAAACUAUGAGUCUUCUUUAUUGAUGCUAGAAUCAGCCUUGCACAUUGGAACAUGCAGUCUCAAAUUGAAAGGUUCAGUGUUCUCAGCACUGAGCAGUGCAUACUGGGCAAUGAACAACAUGGACAAGGCCAUCUACCAUAUGCAACAAGACCUGGCUGUAUCAAAGUCUUUAGGUGACCAAGAUGGUGAGUGCCGUGCAUAUGGCAACCUUGGGUCUGCAUAUUUCUCCAAAGGUCAUUACAAAGAAGCAUUAUCAAACCAUAGGUACCAGCUUGUCAUAGCCAUGAAGCUCAAGGACAGGGAUACUGCAGCCACCUCUCUCAGUAGCCUUGGUCAUGUGUACACAGCAAUAGGGGACUACCCAAAUGCACUUAACAGUCAUAAACAGUGUGUUCUUCUACUGAAACAGAGUGGUGACAAGCUAGCAGAAGCAAGGGAAAUUGGUAAUGUUGGUGCAGUUUAUUUAGCUAUGAGCAACUUUGACAGUGCAGUAGAGUGCCAUCAGGAACACUUGAAAAUGGCCAAGGAUUUGAACAGUCAUGUGGAGGAGGCACGUGCAUACAGCAACCUUGGAAGUGCUUAUCAUUACAACAGAGACUUCCAAAAAGCAAUAUUGUAUCAUAACAGUGUUUUAAACAUUGCUGAAGAGCAUUCUGAUAAGGCACUAGAGGCUCGUGCUUUUGCUGGUUUGGGUCACGCAGCACGGUGUUUAGGUAAUACCAUACAAGCCAAAAGCUUCCAUGAGCAGCAACUUGAUAAUGCCUUGCAGACCAGAGACAGAGUUGCAGAGAGCAGAGCUUGUUCUAAUUUAGGUAUCAUCUAUCAUCAGUUGGGUGAAUAUGAGGCAUCACUAAAGCUUCAUAAUAACAAUUUGCGCAUUGCCAAAGCUCUGGGUGACAAAGCUGGACAGGGCAGAGCUUAUGGUAAUAUUGGUAAUGCAUAUAGUGCUCUAUGUCAGCAUGAAUUAGCAGUUAAGUACCACAAACUGGAACUUACAAUCGCAUCAGAAGUAAAUGAUCGCCACUCAGAAGGAUCUACAAAUGGCAAUCUUGCAGUUGCCUACCAAGCUCUUGGUUUGUAUGAAAAUGCAUUACAGCAUUACCUCUCUCACCUGAAUAUCGCCAGAGAACUUAAAGAUUCAUCAAGUGAAGCCAGGGCACUCAGUAAUCUUGGUAACUUUCAUUGUGCACGAGGUGAUUUCAGAAGUGCAGUAUCUUUUUAUGAGCAAAACUUGAGCCUUUCACAGGAGCUCCAUGAUAUGGAAGGUGAGAGCAAAGCUUGUUUUAGUCUUGGGUAUGCUCAUUAUUCAUUGUGUAAUUAUGAGGAAGCUGUUCGUUACUAUGAACAAGAUUUGUCACUUGCUAGAGAGAUGAGAAACAGAUUGUCAUUAGCAAGGGCUUAUUGCAAUUUAGGUCUUGCUCAUAAGUCUCUUAAACAUUUUGAUGACUCCUUAGAAUGUCAAAAGAAAUGUUUAGGUUUGAUGGAUGCUUUAAGAAACAGUCCUGGCAAAUUCCGUGCAUUGGGGAAUAUUGGUGAUCUCCUGCUAAAGACUGGAGAUACUGAAGAGGCCAUAAAGAUCUAUCAACAACAGUUGCAACUUGCCAAACACUGCCAAGACCAAGAUCUACUUGCUACUGCUUAUGGCUCGUUAGGUGUUGCUCAUCGUAUGUUGGGACAGUAUGACAAGGCUCUUGCCUUCCACACACAAGAACUCAACAUCAGACAAGAGAACAAUAACAUGAAAGGAGAGUGUCGAGCUCAUGGUAAUAUGGGCAAUGUGCAUAUGUCCCUAGGAAAUUACUUGAGUGCUUUCAAAUGCUAUGAGGAACAACUGGAGCGAAGUCGUGAUCUCCAUGACAGUGAAUUAGAAGGACAAGCCUGUGGCAACCUUGGCAUCACAAAAAUGAAUAUGGGACAUUUCGAGGAAUCUAUUGGUUUGUUUGAACAGCAGUUGGCAAUGUUGGAACAAUUAUAUGGAGAAAUACCAAUGAGGGACAAAGGGAAAGCCUUUGGAAACCUUGGUGAUUGUUAUGAGGCACUUGGAGACUAUGAAGAGGCCAUCAAAUGUCAUGAGCAGUUUCUGGCUCUAGCUCAACAGUCAUGUAACCUUCAUGAACAGGACAGAGCUUAUCGUGGUCUUGGAAAUGCACACAGAGCUAUUGGCAAUUUACAGCAAGCUUUGGUUUGUUUUGAAAAGAGACUUGUUGUUUCACAUGAACUUAACAGCCUUGUUGCUAAGGCCUCAGCAUAUGGUGAACUUGGUUGUCUGCACAGUCUACUUGGGAAUUUUGAACAGGCAAUCUCAUGUUUAGAACAUCAACUAAGUAUAUCCAGAGACAUGGGAGAUGAACAGUGUGAGGGAGAUGCUGCAUGUGGGCUAGGUGGAGUGUACCAGCAAAUGGGGGAGUAUGAAGCAGCUCUCAAAUACCACCAGAUGGACUUGCAAAUUGCAGAGGCUGGCAACAAGACAGCCUGUCAAUGUCGGGCCUAUGGGAAUCUGGGAUUGUCCUAUGAGUCCCUUGGAAGGUACGAAGAGGCAGUUAAGCACCAAGAACAGCAUCUUAGUAUUGCAGCACAAAUGAAUGACCGAGUUGCAAAAACUCUAGCAUACAGCAGUUUAGGUCGAGUACACCAUGCACUAGGGCAUCAUAUUAAAGCUGUUCAGUACCUGGAGCAAGGCCUGCACAUUGCUGAGCAGUUAGGACGGCGUGAAGAUGAGGCAAAAAUUAGGCACCGACUUGGGCUGUCUCUAUGGGGGGAUGGACGGUUGGAAGAGUGUCAAGUCCAGCUGUAUAAAGCAGCUGACUUAUUUGAGACAAUCCGACGAGAAUCUCAGUGCAGCAGUGACUACAAACUGUCAUUGUUUGACCUCCAAUCCGCAUGCUACCAAACACUUCAGAGAGUGUUGGUUGAUCUUAGUCGUCCUGAAGAAGCACUUGCUGUGGCUGAAAGGGCAUGCACCCGUGCCUUCAUUGAUUUGCUACUUGAGAGGCAAGCAGGUUCUGCAGGCUUGUUUAAUGGAACAACUAUGGACUUGUCUCCUAUUACCAUAGACCAGAUCAACACAACUGUUAGUAAGCAGCAUGGAGUGGUUUUGUACUUCUCCAUUGCUGCUGGAUUUCUUUACAGCUGGCUUCUCACACCUAAAAAUGGUUUGAUCAAGUUCGAAAAGGUGGCACUAAGUGAGCUGGAAGCAGAUAUGGAGCCCUCAGCAGGUGACAGCCAGAGUGUUUUGAGCUUUACAACAGCCUCCAUAUUAGAAAACUGUGUAGGACAGAUGCGAGAAGCCAUUGGGGUUGACAGUCACAUACAGCCUGAUAGCAUCAGCAUAAGAGGUGCAAGACAUAGCAUAGAGAACCAGAGUGGAUCAGAAAGUGAGAAUGAUGAUGUAUUCCAGCUUCAGUUGGAGGAAAUUGGUGAUCGUCUUAUUGCUGAAAAUGAUCGCACAGGAUUCCUACGAAUGGUUAACAGAGGCCAUUCUUUCAAUACAUCAACAUACAGUGUCAACAGUAUACUUAGCCUUUCCAGUGGUGCUGGUGGAACUGUCAACACAAACUUCUCAUCUUACAGAGGGAAUGCAAGACACAUUAAUGGAGGUCGUUCUCCUCUCUCUGCCUUGUAUAAUUUCCUUUUGGGACCAAUGGAAGAAGCACUGGCAAAUUUAAGCCAAAACUUUUCAGAUCCUAUUGAUCUUAUUCUUGUGCUUCAAGGUGAUUUAUACCUGAUACCAUUUCUUAUGUUGCGGAAGGAACAAGCUGAAGAUUAUUUAUUUGAACGCUAUAAUUUGAUAAUUGUUCCAUCUAUCAGUGCCCUUUCCAACACACAAAAACUUGACCGCCAGGGGCGACCUAUGAUAGAUUCAUCAGGUGCUUUAGUUGUUGGCAAUCCAAGACUAAGUUCAACCAUAAGUCAGCAUUGGCAUCUUCAUGAGAUCCCAGGAGCAGAGUAUGAGUCUAGGAUUGUUGGAGAGUUGUUGUCAUGUCGUCCACUCAUUGGGGUAGAGGCUACAAAGGGCGCCAUUUUGCAUCAGAUAGAGCAAGUUGAGGUGAUCCACUUUGCCACUCACAUCUCAUGGAAGCUUUCAUCUAUAGUACUGUCGCCUACAGAAUUGGUUUCAUCAGGAGGCAGGUAUCCAACAAUCAAGUCUCAAGAAAAUAGUGGUGGUGAAUUUGACUCAUUAGAAGGUCCUCCAUUGUCAGAAUACCUACUUACAGCAGCAGACAUUCUGAAUCUAAAACUCCAUGCAAAACUAGUUGUGUUAAACUCUGGCUAUACUGAUGAUAGAGCAGGUCGUGUUAACACUGAUGGUGUGAUUGGCCUGACCCGGGCCUUACUAUCAGCAGGAGCCCAAUGUGUGUUAUUUUCAUUAUGGCCAGUACCUGACCAGGCUUCAAAGUUAUUGAUGCGCAUUUUCUACACAGCAUUAGAAGACAAUCAGAGAGUAACUCAGGCUCUUGCUAAAGCUGUGAAAACGGUACAGUGCACAAAACAGUUCUCUCACCCCUCAAACUGGGGUGGCUGGGUGUUGGUAGGUAGUGAUGUGUGUCUCAGUAGCAAGAUGGCAUUGAUGGGACAUGCUGUGUGUGAGAUUCUGCAGUCUCCAACCCAGUGUCGGGAAGCAAUGAGGGUUCUCUUGCACCUGAUUGAAAAGUCAAUUCAGCGAAUAAUGCAUGGCACAAAGAAUUCAAUGUACACUACAUAUCAGAGCAUAGAGAACAAAGUUGGGGGAGUCCAUGGAUGGAAAGAUCUACUUCAAGCAGUUGGUUUUCGUUUUGAGCCAGCAGGAAAUGGAUUACCACCAGCUGUUUUCUUUCCGCAGUCAGAUACUGGAGACCGACUAGCACAGGCCAGUGCCAACCUCCAAGCACUGCUAGGUCUCCCCCCUAGCUCCCUCACUGCCCUCUCCAAGUUCAUCACCAACAGCCAGGUUGGGGAAGCUCUCAUCACUGUUGUCUGGACUUGGUGGAUGUGGGCCUGGAUGAUGUUACACUACGUUUGAGCAAGCAAGCAGUCCGAAGACACCUACAGUUUGCAUUACAAGCUCUUGUUGCAGUAUUUGAUGCUCAGGAGGCUCAACCAGAGUAUUCACUGGAUACAUCCAGCAGCCUUGAGAGUCUUUCAUCAUCACCUAGUGGGUCCAGUGCCUCUGUCUUUUCUACCCCGCCACUUUCCCCGUAUGGUCGAAGAUG
This 6072-nucleotide unclassified non-coding RNA is filed under the name Haliotis rufescens (red abalone). Its description in RNAcentral is "tetratricopeptide repeat protein 28-like, transcript variant X1". The record is from RNAcentral. Lineage: Eukaryota; Metazoa; Mollusca; Gastropoda; Lepetellida; Haliotidae.